GUCACAUGCACAUCAACAUCACGGAAAGAGUCUGUAAUCGAGGAUCUCCCAGAAAGGACUUCCUCCCUUCCUUUAUUUAGAAGACAUACCAUGCAUCCUAGAACAGAAACUAGUUUAUCUUCAAGUAUUUGUUUAUCAUCUGAGGGAACAUCAUAUGAGACAUUACAUUCUCCAGUCAGUGGAUUGCAUAGGGUGUCCAUUAAUGAAUUAUGAAGUUGUUCAGCAGCCCGAAAGAUUCUGCAAUAAGCCUUUUGUUUAUCGUCAGAGGGUACAUCAUACGAGACAUUACAUUCUCCGGUCAGUGGAUUGCAUAGGGUGUCCAUUAAUGAAUUAUGAAGUUGUUCAGCAGCCCGAAAGAUUCUGCAAUAAGCCUCUAUCUCUGCAAUAUCCCCAGGUAGUGGACCCAUUCGGGGCAACUGUGAACUAUCACCAGCCUGGAACAGUAAGCCUCUAUCUCUGCAAUGUCCCCAGGUAGUGGACCCAUUCGGGGUAACUGUGAAGUAUCACCAGCCUGGACAAUUUGAUGUUCAGUAAAAAAGAAUCACCCAGCAAUAUCUAGUUUUCAACAAACAAUUAUCGGAAAAGAGGGAGAGCUAGAUUACUGUCGGGGGAAAGACUGAUAAUUAGAUACUAAUGAGCUAGAAAUUAGACUAGAAACUGUUUCGAAUCAAUUAAAUGAAAAAUGACGCAAACACAAAUUUGCUCACUCGAAAAGCAUCAGCAUUAAAAAUUUAUUUUGAGGCACGUAGAUUCAGUAUAUUU
This 762-nucleotide long non-coding RNA is filed under the name Nicotiana benthamiana. Its description in RNAcentral is "long non-coding RNA (NBEN_LNC017555)". The record is from RNAcentral. Lineage: Eukaryota; Viridiplantae; Streptophyta; Magnoliopsida; Solanales; Solanaceae.